RNAcentral lists this ribosomal RNA (174 nucleotides) under uncultured bacterium. RNAcentral describes it as "partial 16S ribosomal RNA". It matches the Rfam family "Bacterial small subunit ribosomal RNA", at positions 1327 to 1500 of the family's 1533-position model. The record is from RNAcentral.
UGGAAUCGCUAGUAAUCGCGGAUCAGGAUGCCGCGGUGAAUACGUUCCCGGGUCUUGUACACACCGCCCGUCACACCAUGGGAGUCGGAAAUGCCCGAAGUCUGUGACCCAACCUUAGGGAGGGAGCAGCCGAAGGCAGGUCGGAUGACUGGGGUGAAGUCGUAACAAGGUAUC